This 1350-nucleotide long non-coding RNA is filed under the name Homo sapiens (human). Its description in RNAcentral is "GOT1 divergent transcript". Lineage: Eukaryota; Metazoa; Chordata; Mammalia; Primates; Hominidae. The record is from RNAcentral.
GAGCGAGCGGCGGGUGUCCCUGAGAGGCCACCUUUCGACCUUCGAGGGCCAGGAGGAUACGGGGAGGUGGCCGGAGGGAGUUCCCGAACACAGGUCUUCCUGUUCCCGCCGAGCAGGUGUUGGCGGUGCCAGGCCCGGCCUGGCGGGCCCGGGCUGGCAGCCAAAUACCCAGCGUCUGUGCUCGGGACGGGAGUGUUCGUCCAGGACGUGCAGCUCCGGAGCCUGCGCGGGCGACCUUGACCACCUUUGUCGGCUGUUUCCCCCUGAGGGAAGUAUACCUGUCCUGCCAGCCUUGGUCUCUGGCAGGGAAGGUCCUUCCAACAGAGAGGGAAUUGCUUAGAAUUGACUCAACACUGCCUCCUUGCUGAAUGGAUAAUUCAAGCAAACAACUCAAGAGCUGGAUGCUGCCCAGACAGGUAGGCAGCCAGAUAAAGUGAGUGUCCAGGGAAAGAGCAGUAAGGGUCAGAAGAGAAAGAGCCUGGUGUUCUCACUGCCUCCUGCCUUCCUUAUGACUGUCUGUUCAGAAGUCCUCCUAGCAUCUUUCUUCUGCCUUCCCCUGCUCCUGUCCCUGAAACCUUUUCUUCAAAAGAAGUGGAAAAGAGGAACUGGGAACCCAUAUAGCAACAGCAUCACCUGGAAUGAAUUCCUUUAGAACAUACUGUCUUGGAAAUCUGAAGCCUGCAGGGCUGGACAGGCAAGAAGAGCAGUGAGCACUGCAUGAACCUGCAUGUACUCCGAAAUAUUUUUCAAAUGGAAAAGAAAACAGAGAACACAAUUUUCAAAAUAUCUAGAGCCCUCCAAGAAGUCUUUGUAGAGAUCUAUAAAAUCUCAAGGCAAUUUAAAGCAGCCUUCUCCAAAGAAACAGAAAGAAGGAAAUGGAUUGCCUUAGCAAAAAAACAAAUGAAGACACUCCAAAUAACAGAAGAAUGGGAAGGCUACAGACCUUGAAGUCAGAAGAAAAUUUCCUCUCCUUGCCCCGUUUCUCCUUAAAUGGAUCACCAGUACAGUCUCUUACUUCUAGAGCCAUGUUAAGCUUUCUUCCCCAAAGUUGUAAUGUCCUUCUUUUGGUUGUGUCGUGUCCUAAAAUCCUACUCUUUGGUACAAGAUGAAGGUAUAUGAAGAGAUAAUGAAGGAAACAAAUUCAAUGUGUUUGCCAAGAACACAGUCUUUUAAAUAACUCUUAAAGGGUUCGUUUAAAACAGUGUAAUAAAUUGUGGUAAUCUAGUACACAAAGCUAGUAGGAACCUCGUUUAUUAAUAAUAUUUCAACAUUGAGCAGUAGAGGGCAGCACUAUCCUUCUUUUGCAAAAUGUUGAGCACUCUUGAGAAGGAAAAUAAAGGCAAAGCUCCU